This is a long non-coding RNA of Haliotis rubra (blacklip abalone), 406 nucleotides long. RefSeq lists it as uncharacterized. The record is from RefSeq and is a predicted model, not a curated record. The transcript is spliced from 3 exons. NCBI's taxonomy places the organism in Eukaryota, Metazoa, Mollusca, Gastropoda, Lepetellida, Haliotidae.
UUCAGGUUUCGACAGCACGAGACAGGAUGGAGCCGGUACAGCAUAGAAAUGCCUUUUCACAGGGACGAUUCGGGAAUGCCUCGUCACUGGGACGAUUUCGGUAAGUUUGUGUUUGCAGAGCUUCGAAUUGCCGAACAAGAUGCGUGACUACACAUUACCAGUGACACACACUGCUCGCGACACGCUGUAUACUGCAUGUGAUACAAGUUUAGAGCUUGAGUCAUGUGAUACUCACUGAAGUCAGUGUCGAAAGCUCAUGCUCCUAAAACAAAAUGAUAUGAUUUACAAAACAGGAAGAAACGAGAAUAUACUCGAAAUUUCGUGAUUUUUAAAUAACUUAAAACAUUGAGUAAAAGAUUGAAAUAAUGAUUAAAUACUUGACAUUACAUGAAAAGCAUCCAAUUAG